RNAcentral lists this ribosomal RNA (460 nucleotides) under uncultured bacterium. RNAcentral's name for it is "partial 16S ribosomal RNA". It matches the Rfam family "Bacterial small subunit ribosomal RNA", at positions 338 to 795 of the family's 1533-position model. The record is from RNAcentral.
CCUACGGGAGGCAGCAGUGAGGAAUAUUGGUCAAUGGACGAGAGUCUGAACCAGCCAAGUAGCGUGAAGGAUGACUGCCCUAUGGGUUGUAAACUUCUUUUAUAUGGGAAUAAAAUGUUCCACGUGUGGGUUUUUGUAUGUACCAUAUGAAUAAGGAUCGGCUAACUCCGUGCCAGCAGCAGCGGUAAUACGGAGGAUACGAGCGUUAUCCGGAUUUAUUGGGUUUAAAGGGAGCGUAGGUGGAUUGUUAAGUCAGUUGUGAAAGUUUGCGGCUCAACCGUACAACUGCAGUUGAAACUGGCAGUCUUGAGUACAGUAGAGGUGGGCGGAAUUCGUGGUGUAGCGGUGAAAUGCUUAGAUAUCACGAAGAACUCCGAUUGCGAAGGCAGCUCACUGGACUGCAACUGACACUGAGGCGCGAAAGUGUGGGUAUCAAACAGGAUUAGAUACCCCGGUAGUC